AGUUUUUCAUGAACAAAUGGUCCAGAUUAAUCUCGAACGAGAUCGGACGGCUGCUAUUCGUUAUCGGUUGAAAACUAAGAGAAGAAGAAAAUCUGAGCACCAUCUGAUGGUUGAAAAUCGAUCUAGACUUCGAUCCGACAGUUGGUAUUCAUCCCGACUAUGAAUAGGAGAGAUUGAGCGCGAUCCAGUGGUCGAAAACUCAUCAGAUGUGAGAUCGGACGGCC
Molecule: long non-coding RNA, 224 nt
Filed under: Elaeis guineensis (African oil palm)
Lineage: Eukaryota; Viridiplantae; Streptophyta; Magnoliopsida; Arecales; Arecaceae
Description: long non-coding RNA (EGUI_LNC077437)
Source: RNAcentral